GCCCGGUAAGCUCAAUCGGUAGAGCAAACUCCUUUAUAAAAGGACGUCACGGGUUCGAGUACCGGACUGGCCG
RNAcentral lists this transfer RNA (73 nucleotides) under Dreissena polymorpha. RNAcentral describes it as "tRNA-Tyr". Lineage: Eukaryota; Metazoa; Mollusca; Bivalvia; Myida; Dreissenidae. The record is from RNAcentral.